UUAAUUAUUAAAAGCCCACCUCAAACAACUAUUAACUGAGCAUACAAAAAAAUCAGAAGAGUUCUGAGAGAGAGAGAGAAUGAAAGAGUCUGACCCCUAAAAUAUCGAUUCCAGCCACUUCCAUUCAUCUCCUCGCCGCCGUUGCCGCCAUGUCUCCUCCAUCAAAGCGUCACCGGUGGAGUUAUGAGGACGAGGUGAUCGUGGAGCUUCUCAAUUCGUGGAGCUCUAGCCUCUUGGGUUUAUAUUAUUUAUACAUGUCGCAACCGCCUAAACCUUCAUUCAUCCACUAAUAUUAUCUCGCUAAUCGCACAAAGGAUCACUCUCUUUCCGUUAAACCAAAGCAUCAAACCUUCGUUAAUGGCGGGUCGAGGCAAAACAUUAGGAUCUGGCAACGCCAAGAAGGCCACCUCUCGGAGCAGCAAGGCCGGUCUUCAAUUCCUCGUUGGUCGUAUUGCCCGGUUCUUGAAGGCUAGAAAAUACGUCAAACGUGUCGGUGCCAGCGCCCCUGUUUACCUCGCUGCCGUCCUUGAAUACCUAGCCUCCGAGGUUCUUGAGUUAGCUGGCAACGCUGCGAGAGAUAACAAGAAGACCAGAAUUGUGCCACGUCACAUUCAAUUGGCGGUUAGAAAUGACAAAGAGUUAAGCAAGCUUCUUGGAGAUGUCACAAUUGCUCUGAUUGGGCCUGCUAUGGUGUUUUGAGGUUUGUUAUGGAAAAUGGCGCCAACGGAUGCAAGGACUACAUUGAUUCUGUUGUAAGACAUGUUGUACUCCUUAGGCAGGCAUAUACGAGUAAGUUGCAGCUUAAAGUGGAUCACUUGCUGGAAGAGAAUGCAAGACUCAAGAGACAACAACAAAAGGUAAAUUUAUUGCUGAGGUUUCAUGCUCCAAAGAAUGUAACAAGAAAAAGCGGACUUAUGCUCAAGCUAACAAGCCGGUAACAAGCCUGCAUCUGCUGAUGAUGAAGAUAUGGACCCCACU
This is an RNA transcript of Arachis stenosperma, 978 nucleotides long. It is a transcript of the gene named histone H2A.6-like, with no coding region annotated. Lineage: Eukaryota; Viridiplantae; Streptophyta; Magnoliopsida; Fabales; Fabaceae. The transcript is spliced from 5 exons. The record is from RefSeq and is a predicted model, not a curated record.